AAAAACUCCGGUGGUGUGAGAUGGAUCCGCGUCUGAUUAGCCAGUUGGCGGGGUAACGGCCCACCAAAGCGACGAUCAGUAGCCGGCCUGAGAGGGUGACCGGCCACAUUGGGACUGAGACACGGCCCAAACUCCUACGGGAGGCAGCAGUGGGGAAUAUUGCACAAUGGGCGAAAGCCUGAUGCAGCGACGCCGCGUGAGUGAAGAAGUAUUUCGGUAUGUAAAGCUCUAUCAGCAGGGAAGAAAAUGACGGUACCUGACUAAGAAGCCCCGGCUAACUACGUGCCAGCAGCCGCGGUAAUACGUAGGGGGCAAGCGUUAUCCGGAUUUACUGGGUGUAAAGGGAGCGUAGACGGCGAAGCAAGUCUGAAGUGAAAACCCAGGGCUCAACCCUGGGACUGCUUUGGAAACUGUUUUGCUAGAGUGUCGGAGAGGUAAGUGGAAUUCCUAGUGUAGCGGUGAAAUGCGUAGAUAUUAGGAGGAACACCAGUGGCGAAGGCGGCUUACUGGACGAUAACUGACGUUGAGGCUCGAAAGCGUGGGGAGCAAACAGGAUUAGAUACCCUGGUAGUCCACGCCGUAAACGAAGAAUGCUAGGUGUUGGGGGGCAAAGCCCUUCG
This 620-nucleotide ribosomal RNA is filed under the name uncultured bacterium. Its description in RNAcentral is "bacterial SSU rRNA". It matches the Rfam family "Bacterial small subunit ribosomal RNA", at positions 202 to 842 of the family's 1533-position model. The record is from RNAcentral.